UCAAGAAGUAGUUUAAUUUAAAAAUAUUAAUUUUGGAGAUUAAUGUCAGGUUUACACCUUUUCUUGAU
RNAcentral lists this transfer RNA (68 nucleotides) under Opatrum subaratum. Its description in RNAcentral is "tRNA-Pro". The record is from RNAcentral. Lineage: Eukaryota; Metazoa; Arthropoda; Insecta; Coleoptera; Tenebrionidae.